This 654-nucleotide long non-coding RNA is filed under the name Homo sapiens (human). RNAcentral describes it as "novel transcript". The stretch from base 6 to 125 matches the Rfam family "U5 spliceosomal RNA". Lineage: Eukaryota; Metazoa; Chordata; Mammalia; Primates; Hominidae. The record is from RNAcentral.
AUGUUAUACUCUGGUUUCUCUUCAAAUCGUAUAAAUCUUUCGCCUUUUACUAAAGAUUUCCGUGGAGAGAAACGAGUGUGAGUCUGAAACCAAUUUUUUGAGGCCUUGCGUUUCUUAGCAGGGCUUAUUUUAAGUGUUUUAAAAACAGAUGCGAUUCCGUUAAAUCGCGUGUGGAGCUAUGUAAAGUGUAUUAUAGAACAAAUGCGAGUUACGGUUUUUCAGCUUUUCGCUUUGUUAAGAACUUCAAAGAGGAACCAGGAGUACGGGAAGAGCAUGAAAGUGGACAAGGAGCGUGACCAUGGAAGCACAGCACCACAGGGAGGGGUUUAGGCCUCCGGAUGACUGCGGGCAGGCCUGGAUAAUAUCCAGCCUCCCACAAGAAGCUGGUGGAGCAGAGUGUUCCCUGACUCCUCCAAGGAAACGGAGACUCCCUUUCACGGUUUGCUAAGUAACGGGUGCCUUCCCAGGCACUGGCAUUACCACUUGACCAAGGAGCCCUCAAGCGGCCCUGAUGCAGGUGUGACAGAGGGCUCACCUCUUGCCUUCUUGGUCACUUCUCACAAUGUCCCUUCAGCCCCUGUCCCUAUACCCGCCGGUUAUUCCUUGGUUAUACAACAAAGAGUAAUAUUAAAAGUUAAUGAUUAAUAAUGUUUA